AUUGAACGCUGGCGGCAGGCCUAACACAUGCAAGUCGAGCGGAUGAGAAGAGCUUGCUCUUCGAUUCAGCGGCGGACGGGUGAGUAAUGCCUAGGAAUCUGCCUGGUAGUGGGGGACAACGUUUCGAAAGGAACGCUAAUACCGCAUACGUCCUACGGGAGAAAGCAGGGGACCUUCGGGCCUUGCGCUAUCAGAUGAGCCUAGGUCGGAUUAGCUAGUUGGUGAGGUAAUGGCUCACCAAGGCGACGAUCCGUAACUGGUCUGAGAGGAUGAUCAGUCACACUGGAACUGAGACACGGUCCAGACUCCUACGGGAGGCAGCAGUGGGGAAUAUUGGACAAUGGGCGAAAGCCUGAUCCAGCCAUGCCGCGUGUGUGAAGAAGGUCUUCGGAUUGUAAAGCACUUUAAGUUGGGAGGAAGGGCAUUAACCUAAUACGUUAGUGUUUUGACGUUACCGACAGAAUAAGCACCGGCUAACUCUGUGC
Molecule: ribosomal RNA, 485 nt
Filed under: uncultured bacterium
Lineage: Bacteria
Also listed under: 1 other name
Description: partial 16S ribosomal RNA
Rfam family: Bacterial small subunit ribosomal RNA
Source: RNAcentral